Molecule: ribosomal RNA, 403 nt
Filed under: bacterium
Lineage: Bacteria
Description: partial 16S ribosomal RNA
Rfam family: Bacterial small subunit ribosomal RNA
Source: RNAcentral
UGGGGAAUAUUGCACAAUGGGGGAAACCCUGAUGCAGCGACGCCGCGUGAACGAAGAAGGUAUUCGUAUCGUAAAGUUCUGUCCUAUGGGAAGAUAAUGACAGUACCAUAGAAGAAAGCUCCGGCUAAAUACGUGCCAGCAGCCGCGGUAAUACGUAUGGAGCGAGCGUUGUCCGGAAUUAUUGGGCGUAAAGGGUACGCAGGCGGUUUAAUAAGUCGAAUGUUAAAGAUCGGGGCUCAACCCCGCAAAGCAUUGGAAACUGAUAAACUUGAGUAGUGGAGAGGAAAGUGGAAUUCCUAGUGUAGUGGUGAAAUACGUAGAUAUUAGGAGGAAUACCAGUAGCGAAGGCGACUUUCUGGACAUAAACUGACGCUGAGGUACGAAAGCGUGGGGAGCAAACAGG